AGAAGCCGGGUGGGUUGGGUUCAUCAGCCACCUUGUGGCGAGUCCGCCCAGGAAGAUCCAAAUCGAUGUAAAGCCUCAGGAAAACCUCCAAGGCCUAGGAUGUGGGAACUAGGGCGCUCUCUUCCUCGCCCCAGGAGGAGAGCCACCUGAGCGCCAUGAAAGACAGCAGUACAACAAGGACAAGCGUGUGCCCAGCCUGGCUGCCCUUCUCAGCGCAUCCCUGGAGACGGCUAGGCCGCCUCUCCCUCAGGAUCUGGAGGGUUGGUCACUGCCCGCGAUCACCAGUCCAGCCCCACCAGCGCGGUGUGGAGGCGGUGUGUUUGUCCUCACACCCCUGUUUGGGCACUAGGAGGCCCGCCCUGUUUAGCAGUGCCCAUCCCAGAGGGACUGUCCUCUCUCUUCUUCCAAGGCUUUGCAAGGCUUUAGCUAUUUGGAAAAGGAUCUGUUGUUGGUGGGAUCUGGGACUUUCUUCUCUGUAUUUUGAUCACUUCCUUUACCUCUCAAGACAUCCAGUACUCUACCCUCAGGGAGGAGCUUGGAGCUUUAGGCAGCAGGAGAAAAGCCUAGCUCUCACAGUUCAUAGUUUUCUCAAAGUCCAAGGUCCACAUGACAUUGAAUAGAAGGGACGACAAGGCUGUGAGCUGUAGGCUUUCAGAUCAGUCAAGAAGAUGGGUCCCUUCCCUUCGUCACUCUUAGUGUGUGUCCCAGAGCUCAGCUCUGACCCAAAGGCCUUUCCAAUUACCAUCAACAUAGAAACUCGGCUUUUCAUAUGGGUGUAUUCUCCCCCUUUUAUGCACUUACGUACUGUCUUGUUUCUCAGAACUGGCCUCCCACGAAGGAGGCCUGAAGGGCUCUAGAGGCCUGGUCAGUCACCCAGGCCCCGCUAAAGCCCCUCAGCCCUAGGUCGAGUGGAGAGGUUUAAUAAAGACUCCAUGUGCUUUUGACGACUGAAA
Phyllostomus discolor (pale spear-nosed bat) is the source of this 953-nucleotide long non-coding RNA. RefSeq lists it as uncharacterized. The transcript is spliced from 3 exons. NCBI's taxonomy places the organism in Eukaryota, Metazoa, Chordata, Mammalia, Chiroptera, Phyllostomidae. The record is from RefSeq and is a predicted model, not a curated record.